UCUCCCGGCUCUGGGGAAGUGGGACGGGCUCUUAAUGAAGUCGCUCAGACUGGGAUGACGUAGUCCUUCUGGGCCCCGCAGCUGUCCUGUUGAUACCGUAGUGUCGUCUAGACCCUUUUACCCAUCAGAGCACUGAUAUUUUUGUCCACGUCUCUCAUCCAGAGGAGGCUAGAUGCUUUGCUGGUCUUAACUCAGGUCUCUGUUUUGACAAAACAUUAAAUUGCACCUGUAUUACAAGCAACGAAGAUGAGAACAGUAACGCUUCGAAAGCUCGUAAUAGGAGGACUUGACCUGAUCAGGGAGGUCGGCAGAGGCAGUGAUGCUCGAGACUGCUGACCCGGGCUUUUGGAUUUUGACUAUUACGGCUCCACUGUUUAAGGAUCACCUCUUCAGUUUUCUUGGAUGUAUUAACACCGGAGUGACUCAUGCGUGCCCACCUUUCCGGGACAGCCAGGGAAGUCUCUGGAGCAGCUGACGAGAAUUUCUAAAUGUCAACAAUUAGGGAUACAGGAAUCAUCAGAGAUAAUUGUUACAUACAUCUGUAUGCAUUUUUUGGUCCAGUAAAAACACCCUGUCUCA
Molecule: non-coding RNA, 579 nt
Organism: Vicugna pacos (alpaca)
Lineage: Eukaryota; Metazoa; Chordata; Mammalia; Artiodactyla; Camelidae
Source: RefSeq, a predicted model, not a curated record